Molecule: ribosomal RNA, 448 nt
Filed under: uncultured bacterium
Lineage: Bacteria
Description: bacterial SSU rRNA
Rfam family: Bacterial small subunit ribosomal RNA
Source: RNAcentral
UGGGGAAUAUUGCGCAAUGGGCGAAAGCCUGACGCAGCAACGCCGCGUGAAGGAUGAAAUCUUUCGGGAUGUAAACUUCGGAAGAAUAGGAAGAAUAAAAUGACGGUACUAUUUUUAAGGUCCGGCUAACUACGUGCCAGCAGCCGCGGUAAUACGUAGGGACCAAGCGUUGUUCGGAUUUACUGGGCGUAAAGGGCGCGUAGGCGGCGUAAUAAGUCACUUGUGAAAUCUCCGGGCUUAACUCGGAGCGGCCAAGUGAUACUGUUAGGCUAGAGUGCAGAAAGGGCAAUCGGAAUUCUUGGUGUAGCGGUGAAAUGCGUAGAUAUCAAGAGGAACACCUGAGGCGAAGGCGGGUUGCUAGGCUGACACUGACGCUGAGGCGCGAAAGCUAGGGUAGCAAACGGGAUUAGAUACCCCCGUAGUCCCUGAGCGGGCUGGCAAGGCGCAU